AAAGGUGAAGUAUAAACUAUUUUACAUUUCAGUUACAUUGAAAAAAACCGGGUUAAAGGUACCUUUA
RNAcentral lists this transfer RNA (67 nucleotides) under Cadlina laevis. Its description in RNAcentral is "tRNA-Val". The record is from RNAcentral. Lineage: Eukaryota; Metazoa; Mollusca; Gastropoda; Nudibranchia; Chromodorididae.